CUAUAUCUUUAGCCUUUUGCA
Molecule: non-coding RNA, 21 nt
Filed under: Rattus norvegicus (Norway rat)
Lineage: Eukaryota; Metazoa; Chordata; Mammalia; Rodentia; Muridae
Source: RNAcentral